AUCGGUUGGCUCUUUGGGAACGCAACGCCCAUCGAUUCCAAGUUCUUGAACUCUCUGAGCGGAGUCCCAUCAACAGAGAAGCUGUGAACAUUCAAAAGAAUCACAGUUAAACAUAAUGAAAAUAAUCGAAACUGUAAAAUUGAAUAGGGGGGGGGGUUGUAAAAGAAGACGUACAUAAUACGUUGAGGGUUCCAAAGAAGGGAGUAGGUGUGGAAGUCUUUGGUGGGAUCGAACCAAAGGUAGAACUGUUGCUCUUUAUCACCUUUGCCUUGUGUAUAUACAUUGGUGUGGACUGUGUAUGGGUCUCCGCUUAGGUUCCCCAAGAACUCGAAGUCGAUUUCAUCCCAUGUCGACCCUUCCGAACGAAGCUGCAAUUGUCACCCCACAUAUCAGCACAGAGUUGUAAAAUAAAUAAGAGACAAGUAUGAUGAUACAACGUACAUAGUAAGUGGUAACAGUGCCAGCAGAGUUGCCUGGGACCAGCUUAAUGUUCAUAUCAAUCUUCCCAAACAGAUAUUGGUUCUUGGAUUGAAAACCAGAGCCGGAGAAUUUGUCGAGGGUGAGAGUGAGAAGGUUUCCGUUUUCGAGAAUCUUGCCCCUGCCAUCACCCCAAGUAACAUCGAUGUCUUGGUUAAAGUUGGCAGCUGAGGCAAGUAUUACAAAGCUGAAUAAAAGAGAGAGAAGCAACGAAGUGGUCAUUAUUUUGGUGGGUUUGUAUUGUAAUUUAGAUUAUGAUGUUUGAAAUGGGGAAGUGAUAGAGGGUGGUUAUAUAGGGGGGAAGGAUUUGGUGAAACAGAGUAGAGAGGGGUUGUUUGGAAGCUUCGUGGUAUGUGUUUCCGUCGGGACAUUGAGUGAAUCGAAGUUGUAAACAGCUGGAACCGUAAAAGAGAAAGAAAGAAGGGGUCCAAAUGUGAUAAUACAUAACUAAUGGCUGUUCCUUGCUUCCAAAAUGCAUGUUUAAUUAAUGGGUUUGGUGCCUUCUUCCUAUGUCUGGUUGGUGCAAGCAGAUAGAUAUGAAUGUCAGGAAUUUAAUCCGAUUUUAAAAUUUGAGCUUUUAAAUAAAAAAUAAAUUAUUUAAGAUAAUAUCAAUGACUGUUAAAAUAAACUUUAAAAAUAUAGGUGUUUUUAUAUCCAAUAGUAAGUUACAUUAUAUUUUUAAAAAGAAGAUCGUGUAUUUGAAUUUUGAAAAUAUUGAAAUGAUCUUAAAAUAAACAUGAUUAAUUUGUUCUACAAUUUGAGUGAACCAAAAGAUUUCAUUAGCUUAAAAUCAACGGUGUUAAUUAAUAUGAGUAAUUGUCAAUGGCAAAACCAGGGGAGGAUAGCAGGGUCUUAGACCCCCUAAAAUAAAAAAAAUUUCGUAUGAUCUUUUGAGUAAAGGUAAAAUUAUAUUUUGGUCAAACUUAGAAAUAUAAAAAUUUAAUUUAAUCUUUUAAAAUUUAUAAAAAUAUAGUCUAUUAAAAUAAUAAAAUUAUAUUUUUUAUCGUAAAAAUUACAAUUUAAUUUUAACUGUUAAAUUUUUUUUAAAAUUUCACCCAUAUUGAUUGACUAAUUUUUGGGACCAACAAAAACUCAUCCACUGGGCUCAUCAUCUCAAACAAAAAUAAUAAUUAAACUAAUUAUAAAAAUGUCUAACCAAGUUCACAUUUUUAACAUUCUUUCAAUGAAAAUUAAAAUGAUUUUUACGCUUCGCGUUAAUUUAAUUAUUUAUUUAUCUCAAAUUUUGGAGUAUAAAUUUGAAUGUUAAAAUAUACUUUAAUCCUCCUAUCAUUUUCAGAAAUUUAAACCCUCUACUCUUGAGGAUAAAUAGACAUAAAUGAUUUGUUUAACUAUUAAGUAGAAAUUAAUCACAAAUAAUUAAAAUAGAAAAAUAAAAUUUAAAAUUUUUAAAAAAUAUAUAUUUGAACAUUAAGUAGCAAAAAAAAAACAAGUAACUUAAAUGUGAAAAUAAAAUUUAAAAAUUAUAAAAAUUAAUUCUUUUCCAAAAUACUAAUUAAAUUGUCUUUAUUAAGUUUUAAUACCUAAAUUACUUCUACUAAUUUUUUUUAUAGUACCUAAGCUACCCCUACUUACUCCUUAUGGCUAUCAAAGGAGAUGGUUUUAUUAUUUAUAGAUAGAUAGAUAACUUUAAAUAAAAGAAUGUUCAUCAAUUAGCUUUUAAAGUAUUGAUAAGUGUUAAAAGUAAUAUAUUUUAACCUCAUUCUUAAUGUGUUUUUGGGUGAUAAUUCGAUGUUAAUUGUGAAUUUUAUACUCUUAAUCCUUUAAAUUCAUGUUUUGAUGCCUAAUAGAGCAAAAGGAGCAAAAAACGAGUAAAAACCGAAAAAUCAAAGCAAGUUAUAGGACCUAUACGGGCAAACCCAUUCCACAUGACCAUGUGACCCACAUGAGCUACCAUACGAGCGUGUGGUAGGUCGUGUCGAUUGCACGGAUUUGCAUUCUGAAUAGCAAAAAAUCACGUUUUUAAAGUGUUUUAGGCAUUCUAAAACGUAUAUUUGACAAAAAUAAAAAGAUAGAAGGGAGCCAUUAUAGAAUUUUCAAGAAAACAACUCGAAAAACACCAUUGAAGCCGAUUCUGAAGUAGAUUUCCGUCAAGAUUGAAGACUCUCAGUUGAUUUCUUAAGAGAUUGUCAUAAGUUUUUUUUAUUUCUUUCGGUUAUACUGUAUCUUGGAUUUUUUUUUUCAAGCAUGAAUUAAUUUUCUAAAUACCUAGGGAGAUGAACCUUAUGAUGGAUUCUUACGUUUGAUUUUUAUUUUACGCAAUAAAUAAUUAUUUUUUAUUCUUAAUUAUCUGUGCUUAAUUUAUUGGUUUAAUAUUUCUAAACUAUUGAUCCAUAUUUGAUGUACUUAAAUCAGAGGUUAAAUAAACCAUAUGUAAGAGUAGAUUUUGCUUAAUUGAGUGGAGUUGCAUGCAAUCCCAAAAAUAUGAUGACAUAAAUCUAUUGGAUUAGAGUCAAAUCUAAUUGGGAAAUCCAUAGCCCGAGUUAAUGCGAUAAUAAGAGUUUUAAUUAAAAAGAACAAUCAAUUAAUCAACCUAGAGUCAGUUGCUCUUAUUCUCGAAAGAGAUAUUAGCAUAAUUAGGGGUUUCCAUGGAUCAUGUCACUAAAUAAAGAAAUUGCGUAAUUUAGAUUGAUAGUGACAGAUGAAAUCUAGGUGAAUUAUUUCAUGAGUAUUGUUUCGCUUCUUAGUUAUUAAUCCUUUAUUUGCUUCUUUUGUUCUUUGCUAUGUUUAUUAGUUAAUUAAAUUUAGUUUUUAAAUCAAUCACUUGAAUUAUUCUGUUAAAUGAUAGAAAAAGAUAAUAAUUAUUAGCACUUUUAAUUUUCAUAGAAACGAUAUCUUUAUUCAUUAUACCUAUACAAUUAACUGAUAAAUAAAUUUACUUUAGCUAGUUCCGUGGACAUAAAGUAAUACCAAUAAUUCGGAAUGAAUGAUAGGAAAUUUGAUUUUUUUUAUUGAAAUUUUAUAAAUAAAAAAUAAUAUUGAGAAAUCCAACUUAAGAAUUCAACACUAAUAUCACAUAAGAGAAAAGACAUAUGAUAUGAUAGGAAAGCAGGUUGAUGACUGGCUUGUGGAUAAUUAUGAAAAGGCAAACAAAAGAGAGAAUAUGAUUACAAAUAAACAGCUGGCUGCCAGAAUCAUUUCAUUGUGAAAAAAAUAUGUUAUAACAUGUUAAAAUAAUAUUAAUUUAUAUUAUAAUUAUAAUUAAUAUAAUAUGAAUGUCAAGCCCUCGAAUAAAUGCCUAUAAAAUAAUGUUGUGGCAUGGCCCCAUGGAGGUCUUGUUUGGAAUGGAUGUAUGUAUCAGUAUAUCCCACCAACUUCAAGUCGGUUGGCACACAAUACACGAACAAAUCAUUCACAAUAUCACAAUAUGGUAAAAUAAUAUAGAUCCCCACUUUUUUUUUACUUGAAAUCGCGAAAUUUUUACCAAGAUAAGUGCUAUUCGAGAACAAUUAAUUGAUUUAGAUUUGUGAAUUCGUAGAGAUUAUUUGGAGGUAGAAUGGAAAAAGUUAGGAGAAGAAUGCUCAUGAGUUAUGAAUGAGAAUAACAAAAAAUUAGAAGAAGAAAGGAUUUUUUUUUGGUUAGGUGCUUGGAAUGGAAUUGGUUAAGCAUUUUAUUCGAACAGAUAUAGAACUGGAAUGAAUGGUUUUAUGUCGUUUGGCUGUUCAGAUCUUACCUGUUAUAGAGAGGUGGUUGUUAUACACCUAUAACAACAUGUUGUUAUAGAGAGAUAAUAAGCUUACCAUAAAAUUUGUAUUGUGAAUUUUUAUUAAAUAAAGAAAAUGAGAAUUAUAUUAAAAAAAGAAAGAAAAUAGGAACCAAAUAAAUAAAAUUAAAAGACAUAUAAUAAGUGUAUGUAUUAUUGUUUUUAUGCAUAUUUUAUUUUACAUUAUUUCACAUGAUUAAUUAUAAAGUCCAUAAAUCUAAUAAGUUCAAUUAAUCAAUGAGUUAUCAAAUUAAAUUAAUUAAUUAAUUAAUUUAUAAUCAUUGUUAACCAAUGAGGUAAACAAGAGGAAGAAGAAGAUGAUUGAACAAGGAAGAAUGAAGUGAAGGUUGGGGAGUGGUUUUAGUUUUGAAGAUAGUUAGGGGAUUGGGAAGGAGUGUGUACGUGAAUCUAUAUGACUUGUUUGCAUGCCCCUUUUAUAGUGGGGAAUAAGCUUGGAUACGUGUCUUGAGGUUACUGACAUGGAAAUUUGAUUUGAUACCCUUGGCAGUGAUAAUGAUACUACGUCCUAGAAUCACGUCCUAAGAUGAGAUGUUAUAGGGUGACUAGCAAUUAAUUACUUUGGUCCUCCACGUGCCCCCACAUAGUCUUAGCGGAGUUGUUCCUUUCUAAAGUUCAUCGAGUUGAUGUUCGUGAACCAACCCUAAGUUCGUAAUGUAGUUGGUUCCAUUGAGAGAUACGCGUUCAGCUCUCUAUGGAUGCACUUUGAGGUUCAUAAAGUACAUUGUAAGGUCUGGGAGGAUCACUAGACAAGGUAUAACAAUCAUGAAUUACUAAAUUCAAGUAAUCAAUUUAUAACUUUAUGAUAUUUCAAAUUCAUAGCAAAAUAUUUAAUUAGGGAGCUUAAUAGUUUAUGGAAUUGAUAUAUUUAAUUUCACUCAGUGAAGAUUAUUUUCAUUUAAUAAAACAUGAUUAAUAAAUUUCUUCAAGUGAAAAUUAAUCAUUUUGUUGAAAUAAUAUUUUGAUUAAGAUAAUUUUCAUUUAAUAAAUGCUAAGUAAUAGGCUUGCUUAUAUGAAAGAGCUAUAAUUUUACUUAAAAUUUAGAUAAUAUGUUGUUAUAGAGAACUAAUUUAAUAAAGAACGUACUUCAUAAUUAUAGAUGUUACAAUUAAUAGUGAAAAAUUAUUAUAGAAAGUUAAAAUAGAAUAUUAAAAAUCGAUUCUUCUAAAAAUUUAACUAUUAUAAUAGAAUGUUGUUAUAACGAGUGAUUGUUAUAGAAAAAAAUAAUGCAUUACCCUAACAAAAUAGAUAAAUUUAAACUCUGACAAUUAUGAAUGAAGCAUAUUAAUUUUAAUUUCUCCUCUUAAUAUCUAAUCUAAGGUUUUGGUUUAACUUGCAUAUUUCAAUGAAUUAAUGAAUUUUGUUUAUCUAUUGUGAAAACUAUAUAUUUAGAAUACAUAUAAUAGAUUAAAAAUAAUGAAAUAUAAAUAUUGAAAUUAAUUAACAAUAACACAUAAAAUAUGUACGAUAUUAAAAUAAAAUUUACAUAUUAAAUUGUGAGUAAAAUAAAAUUUAAAGACAUAAACACAUCAUAUUAAGAGCACUAAAUACACUCCAAUUGCUUAUUAUGGUGUUGUCAUCAAUCUAGAGUUAGUGCUGAAUUCACUUAUGACACCAACUCAAUCAGCAACAUUAUUAAUACUAGAAAUUUUAUCACACAUAAGCGUGUGGAAAUCACAUAUUUAGAAUACAUAUAUGUGUUUAAAAAUAACAUGUAAUAAAUAAUAAAAGAUAUUGUUUGAAACUAAUAAUAAGACACAUGCAAUAUGUACGAAAUUAAAAUGAAAAAAUAUAGUUUAAAUUGUAAUUUUUAAAAAAAGUCAUUUUCCUAUAACAUGUCAAAAAGUUAUUGAAAGAAAAUUCAAUAUUAAAAUUCAAAUUAUGGCACACCCACAAUGUUUGUGAAAAAUUAAAUUACGUAUCAAAUAUAUUUGUAAAAAACUUAUAUAAAUAAUAAAUAAUGUUUUAGUUGAAUGGUAAAAUAUAAAUGAGAAAAAUUAAAGAGACAUGAGUUUAAAUCUUAUUUUAUAUACACAUGAGCGCGCGCACACACACAUAUAUAUUUGCAUUUUUCUAUUUUUAUAUAAAAUAAAUAAAAUGAUAGAAAUGCCUUCAAAAUAAUACAAUUUAUUUCAUAUAGUCAGGGUAUUUUAAUCUUUUUUCAACUGAGUUGGUAUCUAAUUAACCCGUGACACCAACUCAAUAAGGAGCCUUAAGUAUAGAUAUACAAUUGGUGGAGGUAAUAUAGCGUGCAUAAUAAAAUUAAAAUGUAAAAAGAUAAAAUAAAUCUUUAGUUGAGCGGUAAUUUAAGCUUUUAUUAAUACCAUCAACUUGGGUUCAAGUCCCACUGAUUGUAUUUAUUAUUCUUUUUAAAUAAAAAGAUAAAAGUACCCUCGAAAAAUAAAAUUUAUUUUUAAGUAUUAAAGAACAUUAUGAUAAUUUUCCUAAUUGAGUCGGUACUUAAUUGACUUAUGGAAUUAACUUAAUCAAGAACUUGAAUAAUAGUAUAGAUAAUGACUUGUUUGUAUAUACAUGUUCAAUUUUGUAUGUUGAAAAAAACCUUGUUAUUGAAGAUGUAUUUAUAUUUCCUCAGCAAAAUUGAAAAUAGAGAAAAAUAUAAAGAGAAACGAUUUUUUAUUGUUUUUAUUUGUGUGCUUGAUAAAAUAUACGAAAAAUUGAAAGUAAAAGUAAUUUUUUUUUUAUUGAUUGUUUAGUAGAGUUAAAAAAUGAAUUCAUUAAAAAUGGCUUCUGUCAUAAUUUGCUUCCGAACUAUAAGUACUUAAAUAAAUUUUUUUGUCCCAUUUUGAUACCUCAUUCAUUAUAAUUUUCGGUCCAAAAUAUUAAUGGUAUUAAAAAAAUUGUCAAACCAACCAAUGCGCUACAUGUUUGACAUUUUCACGUGUCAUUAAUUAUGUGACCAAUUAUCGAUGAUGUGGUCGUUAAUCAUUGAUCGUAUCGAACAACUGUUUGCUAGACAUUGGUUGGCAUGUAAAAGAAGGUCACAUAUACCAUUAAUUUUUUGGACCAAAAUUUAUAACAAAACAAUAGUUUAGGUAUUAAAAUAGGGAAAAAUGUUUACGCAAUAAAAUAAGAAAAGCAGAAUAGUGACUCGUGACCUAAACUUAAAAAAAAAUGCAUAAUUUUGAUAUAACAUACAUUUCUCUUAUCAUCCCAAUUUAUCAUAAUUUAUUUUUAUGCACUAAAAUGUAAAAUUAUUAUCCCUUCUUAUAUUUGAUCAAGUACGCCCUAUUUUUACUUCUUCACUUUUAUCUUACUUUUUAUUACAACACCAAUUUUAAAAAUAAAUAGAGUUGAAACAACAUUUUAAAAAAUAAUAAGAAACAUGACUAGGUUUACACAUUCAACCUCGUUUAUUUAUUGCCUUUUGACACAGUAAAUUUCCAGAGCAAGGGAAGACAUAAUCGUAGGAUAAAAGUUGCAAAGUUUGGCAUUCUGAUCUCAAUUUUUUAAAAUAAUAACAUGAAUAAACUAAUGAUAGAUUGAUUUAUUUAUUCUCUUUUUAAUUUUUUAUUUAAUCUGUUUUUUUUCACCAAUUUGUAUUAAUUUAAGAAUUUUGAUUUGUCUUAAAAUUAAAAGUGAUAAGUAUCGAAUUGAAUAUAUGUGAAAAUAUGAUGUAGUAUUAUAAAUGUGAAAUUGAAUUAAUAUCAUUAUGUGUAAUGCUAUUAUAUUGGAGAAUUGAUUAUUGGUUGAUGAAAUUAUGUAAUGAAAUUGAGAAAUUGUUACCCUAUUAACUGUUCGGGUAGAGUCGGAUAUAGUUGGCAUGCCAUAGGAUAGGAAGAGUUCAGGGUUACUUCGGUUGUACCGAUGAGGCACUGAGUGUCAAACACAUUGAUGAGCGUUGGGCUCAAACUAUUUACUUCGACAUUGUCCGAUGAGGCACUGGGUGUCAAACUGGUUUGAUUGGUUAGAUCCGUAUAUAUGUCCGAGUCCGAUUUAGAUUAAUAGGGGUAUAAAAUAAAUUUUGAUAAAUGAUAUUUGAAUUGGGUUAAUAUUAUGUUUUGAUGAUUUGUAUACAUAUUGUGAUUAACGGAUAUCGAUGACACGUAAAAAAUCAUACGAACCAGUUAUGUGCCUGAUGGGCCGAUAUAAAAAUGUGAUGAAUCAAUAAGUUCAAUUCAGAAUUUAAAUAAGGAAAUGAAAUAGUAAUUGUCAUUAAACUUAAAUUGGAUAUAUAACUGAUAAAUAGAUGGAAUGACAUAAUAUUAUAAGAAUGAUGUUCAUAUGGUUAAAUGUUGAAUUGAUUUUGAGAAUGGUAUUGAAAUGUGAUUUUAGGUGAGGUUUAUUUCAUAUUGAAAUGUUAUAUGAUGAGUUUAAAUGUUAACUCAGCUUGUUGAUUUAUGAUUGUCAUGUUUAGGUAAAAUUGUCAAGUUGAAUAACUUGUUGUGUUAAAUCGUAAAAUAAGGUAAGAUGUUUAAAUACCAGUGAACUUACUAAGCAUUUGUAAUGUUUACCUUCCACUUGUUUCCUUUUCCCUGUAAAUUGCCAACUUAAGGAACGUGUCAAGUGGAUCUUUGAGAAACUCACAUUAUCAUGUUGUUGAUUCGGUAUCUUUUAAUCAUUUAAAGUUCAAUUUUGUGGCAUGUAUAUAGGUAAUUUGUUUUGAUCAAUCUUGAAUGUUGGCACUUUGGUUCUUGAAUGUGAUUGGUAUUUUGAAUGGUUAUAUGUUAUAUACAUAGGUGUAAAGGUUGGUAAUGUGAUGCUCGAGUAUAGGCAUAAUAUGUAUAGAUAUGUUAUCUGGGAGUGAUAGUGUUUUUGGAACCUUAAAUAAUGUUAAACUUAAUUGGCAAAUAGGUUGUGUACUAAAAUGUGCACUUUGACAUUUUUGUCAAGUUAUGGUAGAAGCUUAAAUGGCAUUUAUUGAGGUUGAAAUGUUAAGAUGUUUGGCGUGCCUUAUUGAAUGAUUGAUGAAUACAUAUGCUAUUAAGCUUACCAAAGUGUUCAUUACAUGUGAAAUAACUUGUACGGUUUUGUAGUUAACAAAAUGGAUGAAUUAGGAUGUGUUUAGAAUAAUUUUAUGCAGGUUUGUAUUGGCCAAAUGUACACCAUUUUAGCCUUUAAUUUGUUUUGAUUAUAUUUAUUCUUUUUACUAUAAUGUUUAAAAUUAUUCAUAAUCUCUUUCGAACUCAUAAAUAAAAAAAUACACUAUUUUCAAUCUAACUAUCGUCAAUCUAAGACGAAUUUCAUAGUUUGUCGUUUUAGUAUCUUACGUAAAGAGAACGAAAGAAAAGUUCAACAACCGGAACUUAGACCUGGCAGUCUACACGUCUUCAUUUAAUAUUCGAAAUAGAAUAUUAUUAUUGAGCUUAUAUUACAUGUUACAAUAUAUGUAGAAUGAAACAAAAGAAUACUAUUGAGGAAAUUAAUUAAAUUAAAAUCCCUGUUAAGGAGCAGUGCAUUCUUUAGGAAGUCCCUGAGGGAAUCGCUUGGUGUCAGUGCAGUAAUUGUAAAUCAUGUAAUUUUUCUGAACCCAUUUCAGCCUUUCUUGGCUCGUUAUAUCCAGUUCUUGCGAUAGCCAUGAAUUUUGAGAGGGCGAGGUGGAGGAACAUGAUGAUUUCCCGGAAGACCACACACAUGUAUCAGCCUUGUAAUUCCUGUAAGCAGCGGUGAAAGGAGCUUGGCUCCAAUCUGUCUUAACAAGACCACCUCGAGUGGCCCAAUCAUCGGCGUUCCAAAGACUCGAAUACACUCUCAUCGGCUGGCUCUUUGGGAACGCAACGCCCUUCGAUUCCAAGUUCUUGAACUCUCUGAGCGGAGUCCCAUCAACAGAGAAGCUGUGAACAUUCAAAAGAAUCACAGUGAAACAUAAUGAAAAUAAUCGAAACUGUAAAAUUGAAUGGGGGGGGGGUUGUAAAAGAAGACGUACAUAAUACGUUGAGGGUUCCAAAGAAGGGAGUAGGUGUGGAAGUCUUUGGUGGGAUCGAACCAAAGGUAGAACUGUUGCUCUUUGUCACCUUUGCCUUGUGUAUAUACAUUGGUGUGGACUAUGUAUGGGUCUCCGCUUAGGUUCCCCAAGAACUCGAAGUCGAUUUCAUCCCAUGUCGACCCUUCCGAACGAAGCUGCAAUUGUCACCCCACAUAUCAGCACAGAGUUGUAAAAUAAAUAAGAGACAAGUAUGAUGAUACAACUUACAUAGUAAGUGGUAACAGUGCCAGCAGAGUUGCUUGGGACCAGCUUAAUGUUCAUAUCAAUCUUCCCAAACAGAUAUUGGUUCUUGGAUUGAAAACCAGAGCCGGAGAAUUUGUCGAGGGUGAGAGUGAGAAGGUUUCCGUUUUCGAGAAUCUUGCCCCUCCCAUCUCCCCAAGUAACGUCGAUGUCUUGGUUAAAGUUGGCGGCUGAAGCAACCAUUACAAAGCUGAUUAAGGCAGAUAGUAGCAGCAAUGAAGUCCUCAUUUUUUUUGGUAGGUUUGUAUUAUGAUGUUAGGAAAUGGGGGAGUGAUAGAGGGUGGUUAUAUAGGGGAGGUGGAUUUGGUGAGAAAGAUGAAGAGAGAAGCUUCGUGGUAUGUGUUACCGUCGGGACAUUGAGUGAAUCAAAGUUGUAAACAGCUGGAAACAUAAAGAGAAAGAAAGAAAAGAAAAAGGUCCAAAUCAAUAAUACUGAGGGGUGUUGCUUGGAAGUUGGUACCAAUAUGCAUGUAUAAUUUAUGGAUUUGGUGCCGCCUUUCCAUGUCUGGUUACUGUGCAUUUGCAUGUCAGGAAUUGAACCGGCAGUUGAAGCAGUAAAACUUUGAUUCAGAGUUUCAACUUUAAAAUAAUUAAUAUUCAUUAUAUCCAUCAGUGUAAUAAACAUAUCACAAUCAAAACACACUGUAAUACACUCACCAAUCCCAAACGAGGUUGGGGUUUGGAGGCCAGAACCCAACUGUUUAUACGCAGGCUUAUACGUUGUGCAAUUUGAGUGAACCACAAGAUUUCAUUAGCCUAAAACCAGUGGUGUUAAUUAAUGUGAGUCAUUGUCAUAUUGGCUGACUAAUUUUUGGGGACCAAACCAGAACUCAACCACUGGGCUCAUCACGUUAAUCAAAACAACUAUUAAUUAUUAAUUAUUAAUUAAAUCCAUUACAAAAAAUGCCUGACCAUAACUAUUUUCUUUUCAUUUAUUAUCUAGACUGAAAUUUGAAUCCUUAAUUCAAAAAAGUAAAAUCCAUUGGUGAAUUACUUUGUGUUUGAUUAUUUCAAGGAUUUCCGUAAUGAAAAAAAUCUUAACUUUUGAACAAGUCAAUUGUUCUAGAAAUAUCUUAAAAAGUCAAGUAAUAAUAUACAUUCUAAAAAAAACUAAAAUUGAUAAAUCAAUAAUCUAUUAAAUAUUAAAUUUAGGUGUUAUUUGAUAAAUUAAAAAAAAUUAAAUGUUCAAAAAUUAAGUAUUGAGUUUAAGUUAUAAAAUUUGUUUGAUAUAUUACUUAAAAUUAGUUAUGGAAUAUAAUUAGAUUGUUUGAUAAAUAUAGAUUUUAAAUUAUAAAAAAUUAUAUUCUACAUUUUAUCUUUAAUUUUUAAACAUUUCACCUUAUUCUAAACAAAAAUUAAAAUUUCAAACGUAAAAUUUUUAUAAAAAAUAUAACAUUACAAAAAACUAAAAUUAAAAUAAUUGAAAAUAUUUUCAAUUAAGUGAUAAAUAAUUUUUAUCUACUUAUUAUUUUUCACAUUUUUUUAUAAGGAAUUCUAACAUAUUGCCUUAAUUUUCAACUUUUUAUCAAAGAAGGUCUUAGUCAUGAUUUAAUUAAAAUUUAACAUUGUAUUGUGCCCUCUUCUUUUCAUAGAAAAAGCCUAGCUAUUCAACUUUUUCAAAUUAAAUCUUUACUCUGUGGGCAGCGGCGCUGGCCUUCAAGCUUGUUGCUAAUCACAAUUCCUCUUAACAAUUUUUGUAGUUUUAUUUUGUUUUUAAUUUCAAUCUACAUUAUUGUGGUUUUGUCUACAGUUUUGUGGUUUUAUUUUGUCCACAUUUUUUAUGGUUUUUGUUUUGUCCACUUUGUUUUCUUUGAAAAUAGUGGUGGUUUUAUUUUUACAUUUAAUUUUUUAGUCAUGUUCUAACAGGUAUGUGAGAUAUUGUAACACCCCCAACCCGUAUCCGUCGCCGGAACUGGGUUACGGAGUAUUACCGGAUAUAUCGGAUAACUUAUCACUAAUUCACAAAUAAAUAACAUACAUAGCAUACUUUAAUCAAUACAUUACCUAGAUAUUAGAUACAUGCCACAAUAUCAAAAGAAAGGCACAUCACUAAAAUUCACUAAUUCAAAAAUAUUUUUAAAGUCACGCUUAACUUAUAAUUAUUAAUUAAUAAAUUUUUCUAACUUUUUGAUCGAAUUUAGUGAUCUCAAAUCACUGUUCUGACACUACUGAAAAUUGAGCUGUUACAACUCUUCCCCCCUUAAAAAUUUUCGUCCUCGAAAUUUCUCACUGAUACAAGCUAUUAAGUCAAAUCUUUCUUCCACCUUUUUUAUCGAAGUCCAUAAAAUUAAUCAUAACUCAUAUCACUUCCGAACUCAUAUCAAAACUCAUUUUAGAACUUGAUACUAUGACUGAACUUAAUUGAGUAGCUCUGAUGUUCUCCUGUCAUCACUUUCUCACUAGUAGUAUAACUACCGAGAAUUUCCAGUAAUCGUCAAUCAAAACAUAACUGAGAAACCCGUAUUAUUAAACUCUGACUGAUAUUUUUGACGUGGUUGCAUCUGUAACUUUCAACUGAUAUUUGUUUCUUUUUUUUUCCAUGAAAGCGUCAAGUAAUAUCAUUUUACACAACUGCAAUAACUUCAACAACAAGGACAACUUUAACCCAUAAUAAUAUUUCCCGAUUAAAACUGACCUGAUAGAUAUAUUUCUGUAUCAAGUCUUCUAGAAUCUGAUUUUUUCAUUCUGAUUGUCCUUCUAUUUACCCAUGAAUACACAAAAUUUAUUCCCGGUCCUGAGAAUAGACUCAAAUGCAUAAAAACCAGUUGCCUACGGAUUAUCCUUCAUCCUUUAUCCAGCAGAGCCAUCUCUUGCAAUCUAUGAACCUGAACCAUCUUAUCUAAUACCUUCGAACGAAGACCUUGAAAACCCAUCCAGCCAGAAAAAAGCAGAUAAUUUAAACCCAUUGUGAAGACCCAAAAUGUACUGAUUCCAUCAGUGAUUAUAACUCAAUUAACUUUUCAAUGAAUAACCCACUUUGAUUAGAACAACUGAGUCGAUUUUAUCUAUCAGAUAAUAACAUUUCAGAAUAAUCCAUUCUUCUUGUUGUCAAAACAAUCCAGAUAUACCAUAUAUCAUAAUUUUCUCGGAAUAUCAACAGAAAUUUACCACAAACUGCAUUAACUCAAACGAAUUAUGACAUCUCAUUAUUGACUUGCUGACAUAAUUCAGGAUUACCUGAGAAAUAAAAACCAAUGUACAAAUUUGAGCUCAAUCUUCCACCAUCUACUCUUUUUUCGAUGUCAACCCUUUCAUGAAAACUGGAAAAGAAUUAUAUAUAAUAAACCUAUUUCAAUUAUAAUCAUCGAAGCUUUGAACUAUACCGAAGCCACAACCAUCAGAUAGAUUAAAAACUAUAGAGCAAUAAUAGGACUGGCGUUCCAACUGUAUAGAUAGAACAAUACCUCAACAUCAAUAGUGAAUUCCAAAAUAGAUGAAGAAAAUCGAAAGGAGUCCCAUUAACAACCAGUGCAGUAAUACAACUUCUAUAAUAUGAUAUCCAUAUCACCGAGCUACCAUGAUUGAACCAAAAUUAAUAACAGUAAUAAAUAUAACUACCUCCGGCCAAUGAAUAACUUUUAUAGAUGAACCAUGUUUAAUAAAUAAGAUUAGACCAUAAGAAUGAUAAGAAAACCGAGAUAAUAAAAUCCAAGAUGUGAAGCUAUACUGAAUUUUCGAGAAUAAAAACCACAUUGAAUGAUAAAGAGAUCGAUGAUAUCCCAGAGAAAAUUCAGAAGAAGAAUAUCGCUCGUACACACUAAAAAUAGUUGUGAUAAAGACAAUAUAAAUUCCAUAUAUGUAAUUCGGAAAAUUCAACCAGUAGAAAUAGAAAAUAACUUCAUAUGAUUCUUAUCAUCAAGUCUUCUAUCAAACAUAAUAGAUUAGAAAACCAAAGAAAGAUAGAACAAUGCCAAUCAUAAAUCAACCAGACUAACAAUACUUCCAGCUAACAUUAUGUUUAACCAAACUUUCUAUAUGAUAAGAAUCACAUCUGAAAAUAAACAGUUGAUGCUUCUUUAUUUGUUCGGGUCGUACUGGUUCAACGUUGUAUGUUCUUGUGUACGUUGAUGAUAUUAUUGUUACAGGUGAUGUGCCUUCUGCUAUAGAGUGGUUUGUUCAAUUGUUAAAUAGUAAGUUCUCGCUUAAGGACAUGGGCGAUCUUCAUUACUUUCUUGGGAUAGAAGUUACUCGUUCUUCAUCAGGCUGUCUUCAUCUAUGUCAGAAGAAGUAUAUACGUGAUAUUCUUAUUCGGUGUUCGAUGGAAAAUGCGAAGAGUGUUAAUACACCGAUGAUUAGUUCCUCUAUCAUGACUAGAGAUGGUGGUGAGCGUUUAGAGGAUCCGACUGAAUACAGGAGCCUUGCUGGAGCAUUACAGUAUGUCACUCUUACGCGGCCUGAUGUUGCAUACGCUGUAAAUCGAAUAUGUCAGUUUAUGCAUUGUCCCACUUCUGUUCAUAUGACUGCUCUAAAGCGUAUUUUGAGGUAUCUAGGUGGAACGAUUGAAUUUGGGAUUGUGUUUCGUCCGUCCACUAGUUUGUCAUUAGUUGGGUAUGCUGAUGCAAACUGGGGGUUAGAUUUUGAUGACUGGAGGUCUACUACUGGGUACUAUGUUUAUUUCGGAUGUAAUCCUGUGUCGUGGUGUACGAAGAAACAGCAGGUUGUUGCUCGGUCUACUGCUGAGGCAGAAUACCAGAGUCUUGCCGCGGUCACUAGUGAGGUUACAUGGCUUUUGUCGUUACUUCAAGAAUUACAUGUUCAGUCUACUAGUAUUCCCAAUAUUUGGUGUGACAGUUCUGGUGCGGUUGCAGUUGCUACUAAUCCUGUUGUUCAUUCAAAGUUUAAGCAUGUUGAAUUAGAUUUAUUUUUCGUUCGUGAAAAGGUUGCUGAUGGUACUGUUGCCGUUGGUGAGGUUCCGGCGUGUGAUCAAGUUGCUGAUGUUCUCACUAAGCCACUUUCGCUAUCGAUUUUUGCUCGUUUUCGAAAUUUCCUACGGGUCUUGCCUGUGGAGAAGAUGGAUGAAUAUUAGAGUAUAGAGAGUUGUUAGUUAGUUGUGAAUAUGGUAGAAGGUUGUUGCUUAGUAUGGAGCAGUUACUCAUGUCUAUAAAUACUGUACAUCUGUAUUCAGAGAGCAAGGAUUUUUGAAUAAACAAACAAAGAAGUUUAUUCUUCAUUUUCUAUUUUGUUCUCUGUUUGGCUAGAUAUUUCUUUCUAUUUUAUCUAGCUCUUUCAUUCUCGAAAGGCUAGGCUAGUAACACUUUUACUCUACGAAAGAAAAACUGAGCCACCACAAACCAAGGCAUCCCCCCCCCCCCCCCACAAAAAAAAAUUGUAACUAAACAUCUUGUGAAAAUUCUUAAAAAAAUUAUAAAAAAUUAAAAAUUUUAAAUUUUAUACUGCAGUUUUUUAAUGAUUUUUACAAUUUUUAGUUAACGAUUAUUUUACAGUUUUUUUAAGAAUUGAGUAUUUUGUUACAAAAUUGUGUUUUUUCUCUAGGAAUUUGAGUAUUGGCAAAAUUAGGCAAAAAUGCCACUUUUAAUAAAAAAAAUUAGGAAAUCAAGAUCAAAUUGAUAAAAUAUGUAAGUAUUGAGGACUAAAUAUAUUAUUAUACCAGUUAGAAAAAGACUUUUGAUUAUCAAUUUAACGACAAGUAAUCAAAAUAAAAAUAAAUUCAAACAUUAAUACCUAAAUUAAAAAAUUUUAAAUUAAGUAACCAAAAUAAAAAAUGCGAGCAUAAUUAAGUAAAUUAUCAAUUUAUCCGAAUUUAUAUUAUAUUUAUUAUUAAUAUAUCAAAAUUUAUAUGAAUGUUAUAUUAUUUUAAAUCAUUUUGAGCUUCUAGUCAGCUACUAAAUGCGAAUAUAUAAUGUUGUGGCAUGGCCCAUCGAGGUCUUGCUUCGAAUGGAUGUAUGUUGAUAUAUGUCUCUCACCAACUUCAAAGUCGGCUGGCACACCAAACACGAACAAAUCAUUGGCAAAAUAUCACAAUAUAUAUCCCGAGGUGUCACAUGCGAUUUUUCUAUAGGUUUUCUUUAAGUAAGUUGACCAUAGGUCUACGGUAGCAACUGGAUACAUUUUCAAUCAGAAAAUAUUAAUAUAUACAUAUUUUAUAUAUGAAUAUGAUAAAAUAUCAGAUUAAUUUAAAAAUUUACAUAUAUAACAAUUACAAUUAUAUCAAUAAUUGUAUUGUUAAAAUAUUAUUUGUAUAAAAAAUUAUAAUAUGAUUUUAAUUUUAGAUGGAUAAAAACAGAUUUCGUAGUUGAUUAUUGAGCUUAUAUUAUUAAUUACACCUAUAUAUUUCCCUGGUUAGAUGUUUUGACUUCAAUCAGAGAAACAUUAAAGUAGUAUAAUUUCCGAAACUGAAUAGUAUUAUUUAUUGAGCUUAGUUUUACAUGUUACAAAACAUUGACUGAAACAAAAGAAUACUGUGAGGCUGCUUUUGAACAAAGUAUCUGUCCUUCGGCAUGACUAGCGAUGGGAAUCUUAAUCAACAAAUUAAGAAGCGGUGCACUCUUUAGGAAGUCCCAUAGGAAAUCGCUUGGUGUCGGUGCAGUAAUUGUAAAUCAUAUAAUUUUUCUGAACCCAUUUGAGCCUUUGUUGGCUCGCUAUAUCCAGUUCUUGCGAUAGCCAUGAAUUUUGGGAGGGUGAUGAGGUGUAGGAACAUGAUGAUUUACCGGAAGACCAGACACAUGCAUCAGCUUUGAAAGUCCUGUAAGAAGCAGUGAAAGGAGCUAGGCUCCAAUCCGUCUUAACAAGACCACCUCGAGUGGCCCAAUCAUCGGCGUUCCAAAGACUCGAAUACACUCUCAUCGGCUGGCUCUUUGGGAACGCAACGCCCUUUGAUUCCAAGUUCUUGAACUCUCUAAUUGGUGUCCCAUCAACAGAGAAGCUGUAAACAUUCAAAAGAAUCACAAUUAAACAUACUGAAAAUAAUCGAAACUGAAACGUUUUUAGAAAAAUGGGAUUGUAUAAUAAGACAUACAUAAUACGUUGAGGGAUCCAAAGAAGGGAGUAGGUAUGAAAGUCUUUGGUGGGAUCGAACCAAAGGUAGAACUGUUGCUCUUUGUCACCUUUGCCUUGUGUAUAUACAUUGGUGUGGACUAUGUAUGGGUCUCCGCUUAGGUUCCCCAAGAAUUCGAAGUCGAUUUCAUCCCAUGUCGACCCUUCCGAACGAAGCUGCAAUUGUCACCCCAGAUAUCAACAGAGUUCUAACAUAAAUAAGAGACAAGUAUGAUGAUAAAACUUACAUAAUAAGUGGUAACAGUGCCAGCAGAGUUGCCUGGGACCAGCUUAAUGUUCAUAUCGAUCUUCCCAAAGAGAUACUGGUUCUUGGAUUGAAAACCAGAGCCGGAGAAUUUGUCGAGGGUGAGAGUGAGAAGGUUUCCGUUUUCGAGAAUCUUGCCCCUCCCAUCUCCCCAAGUAACGUCGAUGUCUUGGUUAAAGUUGGCGGCUGAAGCAACUAUUACCAAGCUGAUUACAACAGAUACCAGCAGUGAACUCUUCAUAUUUUAUUUAUCUGUAUGGUGUUUCUAUUCUAAUUGGAUUAUGAUGUUAUGAAAUGGGGGAGUGAUAGAAGGUGGUUAUAUAGGGGGAUGAAAACAAGGUAAAGGGGGGAAACUUCGUGGUUUGUGUUUCCAUCGGGACAUUGAGUGAACCAAAGUUGUAAACAGCUGGAAACAAAAAAGUGAAAAGAAAGGAAGGAUCCCAAUCUAAUAAUACUGAGGGGUGUUUCUUGGUACCAAAAUGCAUGUUUAAUUUAUGGAUUUGGUGCCGCCUUUCUAUGUCUAGUUACAGUUCAAGCAGAUAGAUAUGCAUGUCUAGAAUUGGAUCGGUAGUUCGACACGGGCAAACCCAUACUGUAAUACACUCACUAAACUCAAACGCGGUUAUGCGCCUCUCCGUAGGCCGAGGCUUAUUUGAGUGAACUACAAGAUUCCAUUGCCCUAAACCAAUGGUGUUGCUUAAAAGUCAUUGUCACAUUGGUUGACUACGUCAGGUCAAAACUAACUUGUUUUUGGGACCAACACGUAUUCACAAAAACUCAACCACUUAAAUCAUCACAUGAUUUCUUUUUUGAUUAAAACUAAAACAAAAGAGUCUUAAAAGUAGUGGCUAAUGUUAGGAUCUUAUACUAAAGUAAGCUAUAUAGUUAUGAACUAGGUUAAACAACUUGUCACCUAUGUCUUCUGUGUUUUCUCCUCAAAACAAAAUCUUCAUCAAUUGGCUUUUACAAAAAUGAGUUGUGUGUCAUGUUACCUAUGAUAUAAUAAAAUCUUUUUUAAUUUGGAAAUUUUAUUGGAAAAGCAAUUUCUUUUAAUACGCAGAUAUAAUCUAAGAAAUUAAAUUAUGAGGGUUUGCAUCCAGUUGGAAUUGAUGGAUUACCAAAAGAGAAAGGAAGGCUCGUCAAUGGGUUGGGAAUUGGAGUGGGUGGAUAAAGAUUACAAAAUUAACUGCUGGCUGCCAAAAUGAUUAAUGUGAAUCACUUGCUUUUGAAAAAGAGAAUUUAAUUAGUUAAGCAAAUUGCAUCUCAUUUAUUAUUUUCUCAUAUAAAAAUGUUUAAUGUUAUAAUAAUUAAGUUAUUUUGGGUUUUAGAUAUAUAAUGUCAUGGUUCACACUAGAGGUGAUCAUGGGUUGGACUAUCCGGCCCGGCCCGACGGUCCGCCUGAAAAUAGGAGGGUUAGGGUAAAAAUAUAGUCCCGAAAUAUGGGUUUGGGCAAAAAAAUGAGACCCGUUUAGAAAACGGGCCGAGCUUGGGUAAAACUAUUUUAGCCCGGCCCGAAUUAUAUAUUAAAUAUAUAUUUUUAUUUUUAAUCAAAUAUAUAUUUUUUAUAUAUAUUAAAUAUAUAUUUAAUAUGGGUCGGGUCGGGCUAGGCUUGGGCUUAGCAAUUUUCUCUCAAGCCGGACAAAUUUUCAAGCUCAUAUUUCAGGCUGGGCCGAGCCUAAAAUUUUGUCUGGGCUCGGCCCGACCCAUGAUCACCUCUAGUUCACACUAUAUAUAAUGCAAAGAGUUAUUGAGGUUGGAGAUUUGUUCGAGUUUGAAGGAUGUUUGAGCAAAAUGCUAGUUAUAUAUAGUUGAUCUCCUGUGCCUAUAUGGCUACACACGUGGAAUGGAAAUUUCACGAUAAGGUUAGCUUAUUCACACAUUUUGAAUAAUAUGCAUUUUGAAGGUUCGAGAAUACAUUAUUCAAGUGUUUCAAAGAAAACAUGGAACUUUAUGUGGACAUUGAAAGUCCAUUUCAAAGUGAUUAUCUUUCUUUGGACACUCCUUGAUAAUGCCCUCCCUUGCAAACCGAGUUAAAAAAGACAAUUAACACUAUCAAUCCAAAGUUUGCUUUAUGUCAAGGAGAAGAGGACAUUAAUAAUAUAUUCAGGGAGUGUGACUUGGUCAGAGCAGAGUGAUCUGAGUUGAGAUUUGGUAUUUGUACGAGAGACACUAAUUCAUUUUAUGUGAGGGAUUGGACUAUACAAUUACUGAAAGCGGCUAGAAGGGGAGUUGCUAAUCACAUUAUUGAAAAUUUGGGUUUUAGAAACAAAGUUAUCUUUGAAGGUAUAAACCCGACCCAAUAACGGUCAUCAAGGAAGUGGAAGAGUAUAUCAAAAUAACGAGGAAAUCUCUAAAGGAAUGGAUUUCAUCCAAUUUAGAAAGGAAAAGCAACGAGGGCAUGAGGAGUGGGGAGGAAUAAUGAAGUACUUGCAUGGGUUCUUCAUAUCAGGGACUCGAAUAGAAGAUCUCUUGUGUCACAUGAAUGAAGAAUUCAACAUGACAACGAUAUAGUUAGGAAAUUGUUAGUGCUAAGGACUGUCCUGGUCAUAAUCGUCAUAAAAGGUAUCUCCUGCUACACUUUUAAGUUCAAGGACAGGUUAUUAGGACUAUCAUUGGAGGGAAGACUUGUUCAAGUCACUGAUCACACAAACCAUUGCUAGAUCACACAAACAUCGUGUUUAUGAUGAUACGAUAUGUUCAUGUACAAAAAGUAUAAAUGUAACAUAAAAAUAUUAAUAUAUCCAGAUUUAUAUUAUACUCAUUAUUAAUAUUAUUUUAAAUCACUUUAAUCGUCCAGUCAGCUCUUAAAUAUCAAUCUAAUAAUGUCGUGCCAUGGGCCAUGGAGGGAUCUUUUUCUUUGGGUACUGCAUGUAUAUCCACUCACUUUUAAGUCGGCUGACAUACAAAACACAAAUAAAUUAUAGGGAAAUAUCACAUAUAAAUACAAUAUAAUGUAAUAUAAUUGUCUCGCUUAAAAGGUUUCCAUUAUCAUAAAAUCGAAUUUUAAAAAAAAAAUUAUAAUUUGUUCAUUUAAAUAUGAGUUGGGAAAUAAUUUUUUAGUACAAAUAACAAAAUUAUAAUUAGCUCAUUUAAAUAUGAGUAGGUAUAUUAUGUUUGGUUUUUGAUGUGUUUUCAUGGGUGUGUUCUAUGUAUAUACGUGCAAGUUUUAUAUGUGUUGAUCUUAAUCUGUCACAAAUGUUGGAGGUUGAAAGCUAUGCACUUGAAACCGACUAAUUGUUAGUUGUUCCUUGCCAAUGAUUCUCACAAGCAUAUAGUUCCUCGACUUUUCACCUAUUAUCAUCUUUAAAAAAAUAUUACUCUUAUAUUUUUUUCUUUUACAUUGAUUACACCAUGCUUUUACAUAUUGACGUAAAACCUUCUGUUAGAAUUAAGUGACCCAAAUCCUUAUUUAAAUAAAAUACUGUGGUAAAAUAAAAUAAAAGUAAAAUUCCUAUAGAAUUAUAUUUCUUUUAUUUUAUUUUAGAAUAAGGUUUCUAAACCUUAUUAAACUCUAUCUAUUUGAUAUUAUUUGAAUAAGGAGUUUCACUCCUAUUAGAAUAAGGUUUACAAGCCUAUAAAUAGGCAUAGUCUACUCCUAUUGUAAUUAAGUUUUCGACAUAGUAAAUUUUCUUUUCCUCUGCCCGUGGUUUUUUUCCCGAAAGGGUUUCCACGUAAAAUUUGUGUGUUCUUUAUUUUUCUAUUUCUAUUUUUCUUUGCGAUAUAUUGUUAUUACCGACAUUAUAUUUUUCUCAAAUUGGUAUCCGAGCUUCCGGGUUGUUCAUCUCAAUCACAGUAAUGACGUCUUUGAAGUACGAAAUUCUACUGUUGGAUCGCAACACCAGAUUUGCGUUGUGACAGAUAAAGAUGCAAGCAGUUCUUGCACAGAUGGACUUAGAGGAAGCCCUACUAGGGGUAGAUAAGAUGCCUUCAACAUUGACGGAAGAAGAGAAGAAGCGCAAGGAUCGAAAGGCGUUAACACAGUUACAUCUGCAUUUGUCUAACGAAAUUUUGCAGGAUGUGAUGAGGAAAAGACUGCCGCUAGAUUAUGGAAGAGGUUGGAACAGAGAUGCAUGUCGAAAACUCUAACUAGUAAGCUACAUAUGAAGCAGCGUCUUUAAGCUCAUCGUUUGGAGGAAGGUGCAUCUAUGCACGAACACUUAACAGUGUUCAAAGAAAUUCUCUCAAACUUGGAGGCCAUGGAGGUUCAGUAUGAUAAGGAAAAUCUAGGGUUGAUUCUACUUUGUUCGUUGCCCCCGUCUUAUUCAACCUUUAGAGAUACGAUUUUAUAUAGCCGCGAGUCUCUCACAGUUGAUGAGGUUUAUGACUCUUUAACCUCGUAUAAUAAGAUGAAGCAUCUUGUGGUUAAAACUGACUCUCAGGGAGAGGGUCUUAUUGUUCGUGGGAGACAAGAUCGGAA
This 22075-nucleotide long non-coding RNA is filed under the name Gossypium barbadense (sea-island cotton). RNAcentral's name for it is "long non-coding RNA (GBAR_LNC018242)". The record is from RNAcentral. Lineage: Eukaryota; Viridiplantae; Streptophyta; Magnoliopsida; Malvales; Malvaceae.